Molecule: ribosomal RNA, 574 nt
Filed under: [Candida] sp. BG02-5-23-003D-5
Lineage: Eukaryota; Fungi; Ascomycota; Saccharomycetes; Saccharomycetales
Description: eukaryotic LSU rRNA
Rfam family: Eukaryotic large subunit ribosomal RNA
Source: RNAcentral
AUAUCAAUAAGCGGAGGAAAAGAAACCAACAGGGAUUGCCUUAGUAACGGCGAGUGAAGCGGCAAAAGCUCAAAUUUGAAAUCUGGCGCCUUCGGUGUCCGAGUUGUAAUUUGAAGAAGGCUACUUUGGAGUUGGCUCUUGUCUAUGUUCCUUGGAACAGGACGUCACAGAGGGUGAGAAUCCCGUGCGAUGAGAUGCCCAAUUCUUUGUAAAGUGCUUUCGAAGAGUCGAGUUGUUUGGGAAUGCAGCUCUAAGUGGGUGGUAAAUUCCAUCUAAAGCUAAAUAUUUGCGAGAGACCGAUAGCGAACAAGUACAGUGAUGGAAAGAUGAAAAGAACUUUGAAAAGAGAGUGAAAAAGUACGUGAAAUUGUUGAAAGGGAAGGAUUUGAGAUCAGACUUGGUAUUUUGCAACCUUACCCUCGUGGUGGGGCCCCUGCAGUUUACUGGGCCAGCAUCAGUUUGGAUGAUGGGAUAAUGACUAAGGAAUGUGGCUCUGCUUCGGUGGAGUGUUAUAGACUUGGUUGAUACCGUCUAUCUAGACUGAGGACUGCGUCUUUUGACAAGGAUGUUGGCA